Molecule: ribosomal RNA, 599 nt
Filed under: unidentified nematode
Lineage: Eukaryota; Metazoa; Nematoda
Description: SSU rRNA
Rfam family: Eukaryotic small subunit ribosomal RNA
Source: RNAcentral
UUCUGACCGUAAACGAUGCCAACUAGCGAUCCGCCGGCGGAUUCCAAACGCCCUGGUGGGGAGCUUCCCGGAAACGAAAGUCUUCCGGUUCCGGGGGAAGUAUGGUUGCAAAGCUGAAACUUAAAGGAAUUGACGGAAGGGCACCACCAGGAGUGGAGCCUGCGGCUUAAUUUGACUCAACACGGGAAAACUCACCCGGCCCGGACACCGCGAGGAUUGACAGAUUGAUAGCUCUUUCAUGAUUCGGUGGAUGGUGGUGCAUGGCCGUUCUUAGUUCGUGGAGCGAUUUGUCUGGUUUAUUCCGAUAACGAGCGAGACUCUAGCCUACUAACUAGUCCGCAUGUUCGCUUGUUGCAUGCUCGGGACUUCUUAGAGGGAUUUUCGGCGUUUCAGCCGCACGAAACUGAGCAAUAACAGGUCUGUGAUGCCCUUAGAUGUCCGGGGCUGCACGCGCGCUACACUGGCGAAAUCAGCGUGCCUGUCCUCUCGCGAAAGCGACUGGUAAACCGGUGAAAAUUCGCCGUGAUUGGGAUCGGAAAUUGCAAUUAUUUUCCGUGAACGAGGAAUUCCAAGUAAGUGCGAGUCAUCAACUCGCGUUG